Molecule: ribosomal RNA, 579 nt
Filed under: uncultured fungus
Lineage: Eukaryota; Fungi
Description: SSU rRNA
Rfam family: Eukaryotic small subunit ribosomal RNA
Source: RNAcentral
AUUCAAAUUUCUGCCCUAUCAACUUUCGAUGGUAGGAUAGUGGCCUACAAUGGUUUCAACGGGUAACGGGGAAUUAGGGUUCGAUUCCGGAGAGGGAGCCUGAGAAACGGCUACCACAUCCAAGGAAGGCAGCAGGCGCGCAAAUUACCCAAUCCCGAUACGGGGAGGUAGUGACAAUAAAUAACAAUACAGGGCUUUCUAGUCUUGUAAUUGGAAUGAGUACAAUUUAAAUCUCUUAACGAGGAACAAUUGGAGGGCAAGUCUGGUGCCAGCAGCCGCGGUAAAUUCCAGCUCCAAUAGCGUAUAUUAAAGUUGUUGCAGUUAAAAAGCUCGUAAUUGAAUUUUAGGCCUGGUUGGACGGGUCUGCCUUUGGUUUGUACUGUCCUGACUGGGUCUUACCUUCUGGUGAGCUGUCGUGUUGGUUUACUCAGCGCGGAGGGGAACCAGGACUUUUACUUUGAAAAAAUUAGAGUGUUUAAAGCAGGCAUUCGUUGAAAUACAUUAGCAUGGAAUAAUAGAAUAGGACUUUGGUUCUAUUUGUGGGUUCUAGGACCGAAGUAAUGAUUAAUAGGGAUAGUU